This 491-nucleotide unclassified non-coding RNA is filed under the name Hevea brasiliensis (rubber tree). Lineage: Eukaryota; Viridiplantae; Streptophyta; Magnoliopsida; Malpighiales; Euphorbiaceae. The record is from RNAcentral.
GUUCAGUGAGCUGAAGACCUAUUGGCCAAAUCGGCCAACAAAUCUACUUUUUCCCUCCUUCCUUGGCUGCUUGGCUUCUAAGUUUGUGCUUCGCCUGCUUUUUUUAUUAAAGAAGAUGAAUCUUGAGGGUUAGUACUAGUCGAUCUCUAUGGCUACCCCUCCGAUUAUAUGAAAAUGAGAAGCCAUGUAUGCUCUCUUUCUUCUUCUGCUAUUAUCCCCUUAAGCCUCUGCGUGCUUGGCUUCCAUGGUCUCAGUGCUUGAUGGUGCUGGUUUGACUUUAAGUUUUGCUACUGGUUUUUUGCGCUUUGGUUUCUAUGGGAAGGCUUUUGUAACCGUGCGUGGCCCUGGCGAUGAGCUUCACUUUGCUGCGAUCUCCCUCCCAGUAUCUCUCCUCGUCUUGCCUCGUUGGUUCUGUCGGGUUUUAGAUUUGGGCACCUAACCCGCCCCGGCUAGAGUUUAUGUUAAUGGGUUUGGGAUUAGUUUUCUUAGAC